This 3177-nucleotide long non-coding RNA is filed under the name Salmo salar (Atlantic salmon). Its description in RNAcentral is "lncRNA (ENSSSAG00000115200.1)". The record is from RNAcentral. Lineage: Eukaryota; Metazoa; Chordata; Actinopteri; Salmoniformes; Salmonidae.
GCCUUCAGCGAGAGCCAAUCAUUUGCAUAUCACCAUGGCACUACAGUUGUAUAUCAUGUGUGCGGUGUUAUCAUGAAGCCUUAAAGCCUGCAUAAACCAAAUCAAAGGAAAUGCUUUAACAGGUAGGCCUAUGGUCUGUCUGAAGAAGGAGGAACAUGGACAGAGACAGGUAGAACUGAACGCUUCGACUCGCCAAGCCCAGAGCUGUGAUGUCGGGCCUCUAACAACUCACUGGAACUCUCCUUCCUAAUGUUCAGCUAAUUUGGCUCUUCCGCUGUGUCCUCGGGCCGUUAUGUCUGGGUCUCUGAAAGAUUCCCCCUGGAGCUCUGAGCAAGGCUCACCCUAGACGACCUGGUCUGGCUGCUCCCUGUUCCCACUGACCUUUGGGCAGAGGACACAUCUCUGGCUGCAAGCACAGCAUAUGGUCCGUAGGCCACAACAUUGUCUGAGCCAGUCGUGUCAGAUCAGAAGAAGGGGAAGUCCUAAAAGGGGAACCUUUUAUCUUGGUGACACCGCUUUUCACCUCCACUGGUGACUUACUGGGGGCCGGUGCUCCUGUUGCACCCUGGGAUACCAAACGAUGGAGGAUGCCUCUAGCCCACGUACCCUGGCAACCGUUCUUGAAGCCUACAGCUCCACUCUCCAAACCUCCACCCCCUAACCCCUCCACUCCAUCCCUUCACCCAGCGUCCCCAGUCCAGGGCUCUGGCCACACAUAAACCCCAGACAGGCCUCUGAUGGAUGGGGCUGGAGAGAGAAGAAAAGCCCUUGAUGUUAGAAAUAAAUCUGACAGGCCCUACUGGAAAGGGCUAGGCCUAAUCUUUCCCAGACUAAGGUUUUUUCCUUUUCUUAUUUUUUAUAUCCUUCUCUCUCUUUAUUUCCACCCCCACUCUCUUCUCUUCGUCCAUGUCUACAGAGAUAAUGCUGUAAUUUACAGCCAAGCAUUAUGGAAGAUGAAUGAUAGUUGCUUUUUAGACUUAAUACACAUUAGCCUUUAACAGAUAAUAGCCUACUGGUAAGAGGAAAACAAAGAAAUACCUUCAAAAGGAAUUUGUUUUUUGGUCAUAUUCUUCCCCUGAUGUUCUAAAUGUUAUAUAAUUCCUAUUCUUUCAUAAGAUUCAAAGUUGCUACUGAUCAAAGUACACUGAUCAAUCUUCUUUUCAAAGGUACCUUGCUUUUAUUUUUCAUAUUCAUGGUUAAAGUAUGGUGGAGAAUAGACAGUAAAGCAAUGCUUUUCCCAUUUCUAUGACUGUUUGUGAUUCUCCUGAGUGUAUACAUGUGUGACACUGGCUGUAAAGAAACACUGUGGAUAUAAUUUGAAACACACACGAACACACACACACAGGUCAACAGCAGAUCCACAACAGUGGUUUCAGGGCCACUGACAGUCACUCAAUUAGCUAACCAUUUUUAGAUUGGUAAGUUACUUUAGCCAGUUAUCUAAACUUGUAGUAGUCAUGGCCGAAUAGGGACCGGGCACGCAAGGCACGUGCCCAGGGGCCCUGACCUCCAAGGGGCCACCAUUGAUUUUGUUAGUCACUUUCACUCAGGUAUCAUUAACAUGGCAAAAUGUGUAUAAUUGUAGGAAAUUUGCUUUAAAUCUGCUAAGAUUUCUCUUCACCCCAUGGCAAAAUGGGUAGAACUGCAGAAAACUUGCUUUAAAACUGCAACAACAACAAAAGCUUUUCUCUACCCUAUGGCAAAAUGUGUAGAAUUGGAAAUGAACUUUAAACGUACAUUUCUCUCCCCAGUCAAGAGGUGGGCCACUAAAAAUGUUUGCUCGCUUGUUUAGGGCCCCCAAAAUGCUAGAGUGGUUUGGUUCUGCAUGCAUCAGCCAGCUCCGUGCUAUAGCAGAGGAUCAGCCUUGCGGACAGUGGAGUGUGCAGUGCAGGAAUCCCAGUGUCUGUCCUCUGGCCAGUCUCCACAGUUUCCCCUGGGAACCUCCAUUGACUCUUCUGAAUGGCCCUAAUGACCUGAGCUGCUCCCAGGCCGCUGGCCAACGCUCUAACAGGUGGCAUGCAGGGGUGAAAGAUCAAGUCAAUGUGUGUGUCAAUAGGUUACCUAACACAGAGACACAAUCAAAGCAGUAAAUGGACCCUAAAACACGACCUUAUUCACUUUAGUCAAACGGACUAAUUUCAAGUUGUAUUUUCACUGACAUUAAUUACCUCUGCAGAAAUGACAUUCGUAUGUGUUUAUUUUGGUUCGUUAGGUCAAGUCAACCUUACUGAAAAUGAAUGGAUAAAACCAAACAAAUACAGUAAUCAGAAUAAGAGCUCAACCAUGCUGUACACGGAGCAUGGGGUUUGGACCCCACAUGUUUUUUUACACUAUGGUGUAGAAAUGAAAGCCUAGAUUCAAUCAGAUCAGGCGUUAGCUGAAGGUAGCGACACCCGCAUAGCUGAUGCUUAGGUGGUGUCGGAGGUGGAAAUGCGUUGGAGUUGAGCAGCUGCUCUUGGGAUCAUUGUCACGCAGCCACACCCGUCUCACUCGCGUUAGAAGUUCAGAACCAGAAAGUGUAUCCUAUAUAGAAAUAAUGACGCUCAAAUUUAAAAUCAUUAAACAAAAUAAUUAUGAUUUCUAUCAGCCUAAUCGAGGUGUAGAUUACAUCUCACAUCCAAGUGUUCGAACUUGUAAACAAGGCUGCAUUGGAUUUCUCUUCUUGCGAAUCCGUGCAACCAAUGGCACUACUCGCUUUAGGUAUAAUGCCACUAUGUGGAUGUCGGCUAAAGCGUAUCUGAUUGAAUAGAGUUAUAAAUAUGGACACAUACUGUAAGAAUUCUCUGUGUUCAGCAUAAUUGCCCAGAUUAAUAACUUCAUAACGAAGCAUGAAAGAGUUGAUGUGUGUAUACUAUCCUCUGUAUGAUGACAUUAUAUUGUUCUCAAUCUAAUCAGAAUUGAAAUGACAUUUCCUGAAUGUAUAGUACAGUGUUAAAUUGCCGUCAUGAGGAACAUAGGUUGAUUUUCAGGAACUGUGUGAAAGGACUGUGCAUGUAGCACUCCAGGAAUGAAUUGUUCAUUGUCAGCCUUAAUGAAAUACAGUGCUGCAAAUGAACUCUUAUUAGAAUUAAGGCAUGCAGGAAACGUACCCUGUAGCACAAUAAUGCAGGCAUCGGUCGGCUGUGUGUGUGUGUGUGUGUGUGUGUGUGUGUGUGUGUGUGUGUGUGUGUGUGUGUG